This 251-nucleotide ribosomal RNA is filed under the name Vibrio alginolyticus. RNAcentral describes it as "partial 16S ribosomal RNA". It matches the Rfam family "Bacterial small subunit ribosomal RNA", at positions 330 to 573 of the family's 1533-position model. The record is from RNAcentral. Lineage: Bacteria; Pseudomonadati; Pseudomonadota; Gammaproteobacteria; Vibrionales; Vibrionaceae.
UCCAGACUCCUACGGGAGGCAGCAGUGGGGAAUAUUGCACAAUGGGCGCAAGCCUGAUGCAGCCAUGCCGCGUGUGUGAAGAAGGCCUUCGGGUUGUAAAGCACUUUCAGUCGUGAGGAAGGUAGCGUAGUUAAUAGCUGCAUUACUUGACGUUAGCGACAGAAGAAGCACCGGCUAACUCCGUGCCAGCAGCCGCGGUAAUACGGAGGGUGCGAGCGUUAAUCGGAAUUACUGGGCGUAAAGCGCAUGCA